Molecule: ribosomal RNA, 451 nt
Filed under: uncultured bacterium
Lineage: Bacteria
Description: bacterial SSU rRNA
Rfam family: Bacterial small subunit ribosomal RNA
Source: RNAcentral
GUAGGGAAUUUUGCGCAAUGGACGAAAGUCUGACGCAGCAACUCCGCGUGAGGGAUGAAUGCCUUCGGGUUGUAAACCUCUGUUGAGUGGGAAGAAAAAUUGGCGUAAUAACACUACGUUGAUCUGACGGUACCAUUCGAGUAAGCACCGGCUAACUACGUGCCAGCAGCCGCGGUAAUACGUAGGGUGCUAGCGUUGUUCGGAAUUACUGGGCGUAAAGGGAGCGCAGGCGGGAAAGUAAGUUAGAAGUGAAAUCUACAGGCUUAACCUGUAACGUGCUUUUAAUACUGCUUUUCUUGAGUAUGGGAGAGGAAGAUGGAAUUCCAGGUGUAGCGGUGGAAUGCGUAGAUAUCUGGAAGAACACCAGUUGUGAAGACGAUCUUCUGGCCCAAUACUGACGCUCAGGCUCGAAAGCUAGGGGAGCAAACAGGAUUAGAUACCCCAGUAGUCC